UCCGGGCUCGCGGCGGCGGCGGCGGCGGCGGCGGUGGGACUGGCCCUGCGCCCGGGAACCGCCUGCGCUGGGCCGCCCGGGCUGACUCCGCGGUCCGCCAGGACCUGGCCCCGGUGAACCGGCUCGAGGUGCCCAGGUCCGGCUGCGGGGCCGGGAAGCCCCCUCCACCUUGCCGUCUGUUACGACCCCCGAGGCACAAGGCUGACCCUCAUCUCACUAUCCGGGUCUGGAGUGGUUCACCUUAGAAGGAUUUUUUGAAGCUCUUGGUGCUCCCUCUGAAAGAACCCACUUCCUUGCGGAUUUCAGGAGCCAAGAAUCCUUAAACGGGGCCAAUUUGCUUUGUAAAGUCAAUUGCCCAAGUGACUUGAGUUCGAAAGGAGAUACUUCCUGGACAACUGCUAUAAAAACAGCAACAACAAAUCCUUUUAUUAAUUCGGGGAGUCUGGUCACCAACCGGAUGCUCAGGGGAGAUGGAGCCCUGAGCAGCCCAUAUACAUGGAAGAUCUUUAUUGCAGAGAUCUUCAAACCAGGUGUUGGCCUCAAGGGCACUUCCUAACAUCCUGUAUAAUGACAUCUCGGUCUGCCUCCUGGGAACAUAGCCUGCGCCAGAUCCUGUGGGUACACCGCUCCAGGCAUGAGCACCUCCUUGUGCUGGGUGUUGAGAGAUGCACAUUUUUCAAACAACAUGGCCCCUGAACACAAACUACUUCCUCUGUAGUGGAUCCAAAUAAAUGGUAAACUAUUGCACUGAUGAAGAAAAA
Symphalangus syndactylus (siamang) is the source of this 761-nucleotide long non-coding RNA. RefSeq lists it as uncharacterized. The record is from RefSeq and is a predicted model, not a curated record. NCBI's taxonomy places the organism in Eukaryota, Metazoa, Chordata, Mammalia, Primates, Hylobatidae.